Long non-coding RNA from Clupea harengus (Atlantic herring), 628 nucleotides. Lineage: Eukaryota; Metazoa; Chordata; Actinopteri; Clupeiformes; Clupeidae. The record is from Ensembl.
AUUUAUUCAUUGUUAUCUAUUAUUAUUUAGCUGUGGCAGUUAAUGUCCACAGCAACUUACAUUUUUAGCUGUCUGUUACUGCCUCUACUGUCUCGUUGUUUUUGUGACAAUGACAAAUAAAGUACUUUGAACUUUGAACUUUGAGACAGGUGAGAAUAGGCAGUGCCCUAUAGAUAUGAGUCAGGUGUGGAUUAGACAGGUAAACAGGUAGUGCCCUAUAGAUAUGAGUCAGGUGUGGAUUAGACAGGUAAACAGGUAGUGCCCUAUAGAUAUGAGUCAGGUGUGGAUUAGACAGGUGUACAGGUAGUGCCCUAUAGAUGUGAGUCAGGUGUGGAUUAGACAGGUAGUGGCCUAUAGAUAUGAGUCAGGUGUGGAUUAGACAGGUAGUGCCCUAUAGAUAUGAGUCAGGUGUGGAUUAGACAGGUAGUGCCCUAUAGAUAUGAGUCAGGUGUCAUAGUCUGGAUUAGACAGGUAGUGCCCUAUAGAUAUGAGUCAGGUGUGGAUUAGACAGGUAGUGCCCUAUAGAUAUGAGUCAGGUGUGGAUUAGACAUGUGAACAGGUAGUGCCCUAUAGAUAUGAGUCAGGUGUGGAUUAGACAUGUGAACAGGUAGUGCCCUAUAAAUAUGAG